UUAGCUCAUAUUUGUAUGGAAUGGGAUCGUUUGCGUGCGUUUGCCGCUAGGGGCGCUGUUCCAAUUGCAUACAAAAUUGGCUUA
This 84-nucleotide microRNA precursor is filed under the name Bombyx mori (domestic silkworm). RNAcentral's name for it is "mir-2807 microRNA precursor family". It matches the Rfam family "mir-2807 microRNA precursor family". Lineage: Eukaryota; Metazoa; Arthropoda; Insecta; Lepidoptera; Bombycidae. The record is from Rfam by way of RNAcentral.